GACGAACGCUGGCGGCGUGCUUAACACAUGCAAGUCGAACGGUAAGGCCCUUCGGGGUACACGAGUGGCGAACGGGUGAGUAACACGUGGGUGAUCUGCCCUGCACUUCGGGAUAAGCCUGGGAAACUGGGUCUAAUACCGGAUAGGACCACUGCCUGCAUGGGUGGUGGUGGAAAGCUUUUGCGGUGUGGGAUGGGCCCGCGGCCUAUCAGCUUGUUGGUGGGGUGAUGGCCUACCAAGGCGACGACGGGUAGCCGGCCUGGGAGGGUGACCGGCCACACUGGGGCGGAGAUACGGCCCAGACUCCUACGGGAGGCAGCAGUGGGGAAUAUUGCACAAUGGGCGCAAGCCGGAUGCAGCGACGCCGCGUGAGGGAUGACGGCCUUCGGGUUGUAAACCUCUUUCAGCACCGACGAAGCGCAAGUGACGGUAGGUGCAGAAGAAGGACCGGCCAACUACGUGCCAGCCGCCGCAGUAA
RNAcentral lists this ribosomal RNA (478 nucleotides) under uncultured bacterium. RNAcentral describes it as "partial 16S ribosomal RNA". It matches the Rfam family "Bacterial small subunit ribosomal RNA", at positions 28 to 523 of the family's 1533-position model. The record is from RNAcentral.